AGCAAACUCAAACAAUUCAAUACAAGUGGUUAACAAAAAUAAUUGGCAUUUAUUUAAUUAAAAAUAAUAAAAUAGUGCAUUUAAAUCAAAUAUGGUUUGUCCAAUUCCUAAAAUCUCAUCAAAACACGAAAUAAAUGGCCAUGAGAUUUAUCAUUAGUCAAACAAGGUCAAAGGACCUUGGAGAAAAAAAUUCAUAAUUUUUGGACAUUUAAGAAUAUUUUUAAAUAAUUAAAAACAAAUUCAAAAUCAAUUAAUU
This 256-nucleotide long non-coding RNA is filed under the name Lathyrus oleraceus (garden pea). RNAcentral describes it as "Pisum sativum (pea) long non-coding RNA (PSAT_LNC020026)". The record is from RNAcentral. Lineage: Eukaryota; Viridiplantae; Streptophyta; Magnoliopsida; Fabales; Fabaceae.